GUGCGAUCCGCCCUGGCCGGGGAGAGCCGCGUCCGAGAGGAGGCCCUGCCGGACCUGCACUACCUGCGUCUCGUGCUCAAGGAGACGCUCCGGCUGCACCCGGCGGCGCCGCUGCUGCUCCCGCGGGAGUGCCCCGAGUCCCGACAUGUCCUCGGCUACACCGUGCCCAAGGGCGCCAUGGUGCUCGUCAACGCGUGGGCCAUCGGCCGGGACGCGGCGACCUGGGGCGCCGACGCCGAGGAGUUCAGGCCGGAGAGGUUCGAAGAGGAGGCGGCGCUGGACUUCAAGGGAACCAACUUCAAGUUCGUGCCGUUCGGCGCCGGCCGGAGGAUGUGCCCUGGGAUCGCCUUUGGCCUUGCGGUCGUGGAGCUCGCACUGGCCAGCUUCCUCUUCCAUUUCGACUGGGAGCUCCCCGCCGGUGGGCUGCACAUGGAGGAGCAGCUCGGGGUCACGGCCAGGAGGAAGGGCGACCUCUGGCUGCAUGCCACAGUUCGGGUGCCUGUGCCUGCACUUGCUCUAUAG
This 522-nucleotide ribosomal RNA is filed under the name Triticum aestivum (bread wheat). Its description in RNAcentral is "partial small subunit ribosomal RNA". The record is from RNAcentral. Lineage: Eukaryota; Viridiplantae; Streptophyta; Magnoliopsida; Poales; Poaceae.